RNAcentral lists this ribosomal RNA (576 nucleotides) under uncultured bacterium. RNAcentral's name for it is "bacterial SSU rRNA". It matches the Rfam family "Bacterial small subunit ribosomal RNA", at positions 338 to 916 of the family's 1533-position model. The record is from RNAcentral.
CCUACGGGAGGCAGCAGUGAGGAAUAUUGGACAAUGGGCGCAAGCCUGAUCCAGCCAUGCCGCGUGCAGGAAGAAGCAUCUAUGGUGUGUAAACUGCUUUUGUACAGGAAGAAACACUCCCUCGUGAGGGAGCUUGACGGUACUGUAAGAAUAAGGACCGGCUAACUCCGUGCCAGCAGCCGCGGUAAUACGGAGGGUCCGAGCGUUAUCCGGAAUCAUUGGGUUUAAAGGGUCCGUAGGCGGUUUAAUAAGUCAGUGGUGAAAUCUGGUCGCUCAACGAUCAAACGGCCAUUGAUACUGUUAGACUUGAAUUAUAAGGAAGUAACUAGAAUAUGUAGUGUAGCGGUGAAAUGCUUAGAUAUUACAUGGAAUACCAAUUGCGAAGGCAGGUUACUACUUAUGGAUUGACGCUGAUGGACGAAAGCGUGGGGAGCGAACAGGAUUAGAUACCCUGGUAGUCCACGCCGUAAACGAUGGAUACUAGCUGUUCGGAGCAAUCUGAGUGGCUAAGCGAAAGUGAUAAGUAUCCCACCUGGGGAGUACGUUCGCAAGAAUGAAACUUAAAGGAAUUGACGG